AUCUAAUCUAUGGUGAUGGAAGCCAGAGGGGUGGUUACCCCCUGGGGAAUGGAGAGGUGUGUUUGGACUGAAAGGGGCAAAAGAGGACCUUCUGGGGAGGUGGAAAUGCUCCAUGUCUAGAUCUGGGAGGUGGUUAUACUGGUUUUUAUAAUGUAUGUAAAAAUCACCAAGUUGCACAUUUAAGAUCUAUGCAUUUUACUAUAUGUAAAUUAUAUCUUAAUUUUUCUUUCAUUUUUUUUUUUGGAGACAGAGUCUGGCUUUGUUGCCCAGGCUGGAGUAUAGUGGUGCAAUCUCAAUUUACCUAGGCUCAAGUGAUCCUCCCGCCUCAGCCUUCUGAGUAGCUGGGACUACAGGUGUGUGUACCAUGCCUGGCUAAUUUCUGUUUUUUUUGUUUUUGUUUUUGUUUUUGGUAGAGGUGGGUUUUUUUCAUGUUGUCCAGACUGGUCUUGAACUCCUGGGCUCAAGUUAUCCUCCCGGCCCAGCCUCCUAAUCUUUCAUUUUUUUUUUUAAGAGACAGGGUUUCACUAUGUUGCCCAGGCUGGCCUUGAACUUCUGGGCUCAAGUGAACCUCCUACCUCAUCCUCUCAAGUACCUGGGACUACAGGUGUGUGCCACUGUACUCAGCUUUAUAGCUUAACUUUUAAAAAGAAAUAUUGCUAAAGAGAAGAAAAAAAAGCAAGAUUCAGACUAGUGUGCAUAGUAUGUGCAUAAAAAAGUGGGAGAAAGAAUAUGAAGUCAUGUUUGCUUAAACAACGACUGUAAGGAUACCCUAGAAUCCAAAGGAGACAGUCUACUUCGGUGGUGGAUUUACCAGAAGGGGCCAGGGAGGGGAGAGGGAGGCAUUUCACC
This 849-nucleotide long non-coding RNA is filed under the name Homo sapiens (human). Its description in RNAcentral is "non-protein coding lnc-PRR29-4:1". Lineage: Eukaryota; Metazoa; Chordata; Mammalia; Primates; Hominidae. The record is from RNAcentral.